Molecule: long non-coding RNA, 350 nt
Filed under: Felis catus (domestic cat)
Lineage: Eukaryota; Metazoa; Chordata; Mammalia; Carnivora; Felidae
Description: lncRNA (ENSFCAG00000045911.2)
Source: RNAcentral
CUCUGGGUCCUGAUAAAAGCUUGGGAAUUAUUAACUACAGUGACCUAUUCAUGAACCUAGAAUAAAGAUAAUGAGAGCGACAGUCGGUGUUUAUUGUGAGAAAUGAGGACAGGAAGACUGCCCUUCUGAACCUCCUCUCUGUCAAAGGACUUCUAGGGAUUUUCAGCAUGUGGAGGAAGAUCAGAAAGUCUCCGCGGAACUUCUGCCAAGCUGCUGAAGUCACAGACUCUUCCCACACUCCCCUGGGUCUCGUCAAUUCUUAUCAAGGAUUCAGGGGUGGCAGCAGCAGCCUUCCCACUUCAGAAAAGGAAGUUGCAGAUGUGUCCUGUGACGAUGUUUGUGUGUGGUGA